This 74-nucleotide transfer RNA is filed under the name Prorhinotermes molinoi. Its description in RNAcentral is "tRNA-Tyr". The record is from RNAcentral. Lineage: Eukaryota; Metazoa; Arthropoda; Insecta; Blattodea; Rhinotermitidae.
AGUGGGAUGGCUGAGAUUGAUAGGCGAUAGGCUGUAAAUCUAUUUAGGAGCUUCUAGGCAUUGCUCUUCCACUA